Oryctolagus cuniculus (rabbit) is the source of this 7569-nucleotide non-coding RNA. NCBI's taxonomy places the organism in Eukaryota, Metazoa, Chordata, Mammalia, Lagomorpha, Leporidae. The record is from RefSeq and is a predicted model, not a curated record.
CUGCCGCCGCUGCAGCCUUGCGCUCCCUACGGUCGUUACCGUAGGCUCGCGGCCGCAGCGCCUAGCGCUGGUACAGCCACUGCGGCCGGCUCGCGGGGCCGGCAGCUGGGGGGGCCGCCGGCAUGUCCACGGCUGCCGCCCGCGCCCCUCACAGAGGCUGGACCCUUGGACGCAUAGACAUGGGCCUCAGAAGUAACCUCCAGACCACUUGGCUGCCGUGCAGCAUUGAAGGUCCGCAGCCUCAGCCUAGCAGGUGGUGCCCGCGGACAGCUGGUUGAAAGAUGCACAAUGAAUGAAAGCCAAGAGGCAGAGUUAGUGAGACAGAGCAGAGAGAAAGGUCUUCCUUCCGUUGGUUUACCCCACAAAUGGCCACUAUGCCUGGUGCGCUGCGCCGAUCUGAACCCAGAAGCCAGGUGCUUCUUCCUGAUCUCCCAUGGGAGUGCAGGGCCCAAGGACCUGGGCCAUCCUCCACUGCCUUCCCGGGCCACAGCAGAGAGCUUGACUGGAAGAGGAACAACCGGGACAGAAUCCGGCGCCCCAACCGGACUAAAACCUGGGUGCCAGAGCCACAGGCAGAGGAUUAGCCUGUUGAGCCGCGGAGCUGGUCUGUAUGUUUUCUUAUUGUCGAGUUCUAAAAGUUAUUUGAGUAAUUCGGGUGAGUCUUUUAUUACAUAUGUCAUAAUUAUGUUCAUCCAGUCUUCAGUUUGUCAUUUUAGUCUUUUAACAGAGUCUCUCACAGAACAGAAAUUUUUAGUGUUAAUCAAAUUUGAUUUAUUAUUUCUUUUAUAGUUCGUGACUUUGGUGUUGUGUCUAACGGAUUUCCACUCCCAAGGUGGUCAUCUAUGUUUUCUCCUUUAUUAUAGUCUAGGAAUUUUAUAGUUUUGUGUUUUACAGUUCAUUUUUUGAUGGGAGUAAAGUUUGUAUCUAGAUUCAUUUUAUUCUUUAGGUUCAGCAUCAUUUGUUGAAAAGUCCAUCUUUCCUUCAUUGUAUUGCCUUUGCUCAAAAUCAAUUGUAUAUUAUGUGAAUAGGGUGUAUAUGUCUGUCUGUUUGUGGGAGCAGGUGUCUGUGUGUAUGUUUGUUUCCAGGAGUAUCUACACAUGUGGAUGUAUCUGUUUCUGGAAUUGUGCUUGUGUGUGUAUAGAAUCAUGUGUGUAUGUGUGUGUAUGUCUGCAGUCUCUUUUGUUCACUGAUCUAUUCCUCUAUUCUUUUACCAGUAUCACAUUAUCUGAAUUUUAAAAAUUUAUUAUUUGAAAGAAUGACAGAGAGACAGAGACAGACAGAGAGAGAGAGAGGGAGUGAGAGUGAGAGGGGACAGGAAAGGGAUGGGGAGAGAGUUUUUCCAUCUUCUUAUUCACUCCCCAAAUAGCCACGAUAGCUGUGGCUGUGUCAGACUGAAUUCAGGAGCCUGAAACUCUAUCCUGGUCUCCUACAAGAGUGGCAGGGGCCCAAGUACUUGGAUCAUCUUUGCUGCUUUCUCAGGCACAUUAAUAGGGAGCUAGAUCAGAAGUGGAGCAACUUGAACUCUGCUUCGUUAUGGGAUGCCAGCAUCACAACAUCUGCUCCGUUAUGGGUUGCCAACAACCCUCUGCACCAUCAUGACUGGCCUGAGAUUUACAGGUUGUUUUGUUUUGUUCUGUUCUGCUUUGUUUUAUGGUUAUUGAGAGGCAGAGAGAAGGAGACAGAGAAAGAGAAAGGGAGAAAGAUCAAAGUGAUUCUUGAUACAGUUGAAUUAAUAUAAGGAGACUUUAAAAAGUACAUAACAAUAGAAUUUAAAAAGUGUAUUUUGGGGGCCGGCACUGUGGUGUAGUGGGUAAGGCUGCCACCUGCAGUGCUGGCAUCCCAUCUGGGUGCCAGUUCGAGUCCUGGCUGCUCCACUUCCAAUCCAGCUCUGCUAUGACCUGGGAAAGCAGUAGAGGAUGGCCCAAGUCCUUGGGCCCCUCCACCCAUGUGGGAGACCUGGAGGAAGCUCCUGGCUCCUAGCUUCAGAAUGGCACAGUUCUGGCCAUUGUGGCCAAUUAGGGAGUGAACCAGCGGAUGGAAGACCUCUCUCUCUCUCUCUCCCUCUCUCUCUCCCUCCCUCUCUCUCUCUCUGCCUCUCCUUCUCUCUCUCUGUAACUCUGACUUUUAAAUAGAUAAGAUAAAAUCUUUUUUUAAAAAGUAUAUUUUGUUGAAAAAAUUUUUGAAAUCCAUGUAUAUUUUUUUCAAAAUAUAUAUUUGCAUUAAAAUGUUCACGACUGGUCAUAUGUAUGAUUUAACAAUUAUGUUCUUCAUUUUUGAUAUCCUUGGUUUCUUUUGUAAAUCUAAGUUUCUGAAUUAUAUCAACUUCUUUCUCCAUAAGGAACUUGUUUGUGUGGUUUUUUUCCUUCUGAAGAACCUUCAUACUAUUUUCCAAAAUGGAUAUACUAACUUAUUUUCCUAUUAACAAUGUAUAAUGGUUCCCUUUAAAAUAGAAUUACUAUAUGGUUCAGCAAUCUCACUUCUUGGUAUAUAUCUGAAGAAAUUAAAAUCAGUUUGUCAAAGAGAUACCUGCACUCCUGUGUUUGUUUCAUAUCACUUACAAUAUCCAAGAUAUGGAAGCAACCUAAAUGUUCAUCAGUGUAUAAAUAUAUAAAGAAAAUGAGGUAUAAUAUACAUACACACGAUGAAAUACCAUACAACAUUUUAAAAGAAGCAAAUUGUGUGAUUUGUGAUAAUGUGGAUAGAACUGGAGGAAAUUUUGCUAAUUCAGAUACACCAAGCACACAAAGACAAACAUUGUGUAAUUUCUCCCAUAUGUGGAAUCUAAAAAGGUUGGUGUUAUAGAAACAGACUGGAAAGGUGAUUACCAGAAGUAGGGGAAGAGGAGUGGUGGGGUAAGUGGAAGAUGUUGAUAAAAUGAUACAAAGUCUUAGUUCAGCUGUGGAAAUAAAUUUCCCACUGGGUGGUGACCUCUGAAAGCAAUAAUGUAUUAUGUAUUUCAACACUGCCAAAAGACUAGGUUAUUAAUGCUCUUACCACAAAAAAAGCUAAGUUGGUGAGGUGAUAGAUAUGUUCAUUAGCUUGAUGGAAUUUUUCUUCAAUGUCUACAUGGAUCAGAGCAUCAGAUUUUAUCCUGUACAUAUAAACAAUUGUUAUUUGUAGUUCAAAACAAAAUUUAAAGUAGGAAAAAUAAAAAUAGGCUGGCACCACGGCUCAAUAGGCUAAUCCUCCACCUUGCAGUGCCGGCACACUGGGUUCUAGUCCCAGUUGGGGCGCCGGAUUCUGUCCCAGUCGCUCCUCUUCCAGUCCAGCUCUCUGCUAUGGCCCGGGAGUGCAGUGGAGGAUGGCCCAAGUGCUUGGGCUCUGCACCUGCAUGGGAGACCAGGAGAAGCACCUGGCUCCUGGCUUUGGAUCAGUGCAAUGCGCCAGAUGCAGCGUGCUGGCCGCAGCGGCCAUUGGAGGGUGAACCAACAGAAAAAGAAGACCUCUCUGUGUAUCUCUCUCUCUCUGUCCACUCUGCCUGUCAAAAAUAAAAAUAUAUAUAUAUAUAUAUAUUCCUUAAGUACUUCUUGCAAGUCUGUUCUACUGGUAACAGAUUCUCUCAAAUUUUGUUUGGGAAAGUUUCUGUAUUUUCUUCACUUUUGCAGAGUUCAAAAUUCUGGAUUGGUGAUUCUCUACUCUCAGCCUCUGAAAUAUUUCACUCUACUUUUUUGUUGCUUGCAUGGUUUCUGAAAAGAAGUCAUAUGUAGGUUUUACUUUUGUUCUUCUCUGUAUAAAGGCUUUCUUUCCUGCUUUGACUUCCUAUAACAUUUUAAAAAAUCAUCAAUUUUCUGUAGUUUGAAAAUGAUGGACCUACCUGAUGUUUUGUUUUCAUUUUGAAUUUUUCUUAUUUAAUAUUGUGUACACUUCCUAGGUUUGUGGUUUGGUAUCAGACAUUGAUUUGGGCACAUUCACAGUCAGUAUUGUUUCAAACAUUUAUUUUGUUUCUUUCUUUCUUCUCUGUUUGAUAUUCCCUUUAUGUGUUUCAACUUUUGUAGUUGUCCCACACACAGUUCUUAAAUAUUCUGUUUUGUUAUUGCCAUCUUUUUUUCUCUGUUUUAUGAAUUUUUAAGGGUUCUGUUGAGACAUCUUCAAGCUCACAUGUAACUUCUUUUCUCAACUGUGUUGUCUAAUAAUGAGCCCAUCAAAGGCAUUCUUCAUUUCUGUUCUUAGAAUUACAUCUCUCUUUUCAUAUUGGUCUUCUGUUUUUUUUUAAUGUAUAUUUUUAUUUAUUUUCAUCUACUUGAAAGAUAGAAUGACAGAGAGAAUGUGUGUGUGUGUGUGUGUGUGCAUGUGUGAAAGAGAGAGAAUCUCUUCCAUGUGCUGAUUUAUAUAUCAAAUUCCUGCAACAAACAGGCUGAGUCAAUCCAAGGCCAGGAGCCCAGAACCCAAUCAGGUUCUCUCACAUAGGUAGCAGAGACACAAGCACCUUAGCCAUUAUCUGCUGCCUGCCAGAAUGUGUUAGCAAGAAGGUGGAUUGGAAGCCCAGGAGCCAGUACUCAAACUACGCACUUCCAUAUGGGGUGUGAACAUUGCAAAUGGAGGCUCAAACCAACGUGCCACAACACUGCCCCCUGGUCAUCUGUUCUUAUUUACUAUCAACUUUAUCAAUUACAGUCCUCAGCAUAUCAAGCAUAGCUGUUUUAAAUGCCUAGGCUGAUAAUUCCAACACCCCUUCCAUAACUGAAUUGAUUCUGAUGCCUGCUGUGUCUUUUCCACGUGUGUGUUUUUGCCUAGUAGUGUGCCUUGUAAUUUUUCCUGAUAGCUGGACACGAUGUCCUGGCUAAAGUAAACUGCUGUACACAGGCAUUGAGUAAUGUGGUGGAGGUGAGGUGCGAAGGAAAAGAAAGCAUGCUGUCAUUAGUUCUCAGUCCUUGACUAAGCCUGUGCCUCGGCUCCGUGAAUGUCACGCUUGUUUCUUAGCGUUUCCAACUCCUUCAGGUGGGACAGGAUGGCAGCAGGGGCCUGGAGCUGGGUAUGCCACAUCCCCCAGGUCAUUUAGGCUGUGGUAACCCUGGAAUAGGUGAGGCCUUGGUUAAAUAUGCUCUUCUGAAGGCAGACACUGUUAAAGCAGAACAAAAUGCUCUAGUGUACUUGGUUCCUUUUCUCCGGUAGUCACUGGGAGAACUUAGUAGCAGAGGUCCCACAGGGACACGGUUUCCCCUGGAGUGUUUCACCCUGAGCUGUUCACACAGAGCCACCAGUGAUUUGUUCAGGCCCUGAUUUCUGUGAAGGCUUCUGCUGGCGACUUCCUGCUCUGGUGAGUUGACAGGUUCUGUAUCCACCUGUCUUCCUCUGCAGUGUGGGAGUCUGCCCCUUGCCCCUUGAUCUCACUUCUCUUGGAGAUUCAAAAUGACUUUUUGCUUUUUCAGUUGGUUGAGAUUUUUCCACAUGGCUGGGAUGGAGUUGUGACUUUCAAGCACACUUUAUAGGCCCUAGGUGUUUUUAAAGUUUCUGUGGAUGCUUUGUAUACAGACUAACCCAUAGUCAAAAACUCAACCUGUUCUUUCUUCUCAUGCUCGCUGGCAGCCUCUUGCGGGUCACCGAGAGUUUUGGUAGUGGCCCUCGCUUAGGGCUUCCUUUCCUGGCUGUUCUGUCUCAUUCUGCCACUACUUGGAGGUCUCCUACUUUUACUCUUCAACCUCCCCCAGGAAUUGUGAGUAUUUUUCAGUGCUGCCCAUGAAGCCACAUUGCACACUCAACCUAACUUUAACCAAGAUCGAGUGGAAAUGAACCUUCCAGCUCCAUAUGUCUUUUUCCCUGGGUCAGAAGUGACUAGAUAAAUAUCAUUAAAAGGAAAGGAAGUUAUAAAAUAACGCAUUUGUGGGUUUAGUCCUUAUCUACCUUGCUUGGUUUAUAAAAUUACCUAUGUUUUCUCAUUAUAGAAGAAAUAUGUGUUGUAGGAAAUUUGGCAAAAGAAAGAAAUCCAAUGAAAGAAGGUAUAAUUACUAUUAUCCUCUAUACAAAGGCAACAUUUGCUUAUAUUUUGUUUUAUUUUCUUCCUUUUUUAUACACUCACAUCACACAUACAAGUGUACAUAAUUUAUCUGUUUAAAACUUAUAUAAUGCUAAUUUUCCUUCUAUAUAGUACAUUUACUAGAUGCUCUGCCAAGAAUUUUAUGUGCAUUAUUGCAUUUAAUCUUCAUUAUAACCCUAUAUGUAUAGCCUAUAUUAUUUUGUACUGCAGCUAAUAAAAUAAGACCUUGAGAAUGAAGUUAUUUGACCAGGAUAAAUAGGGAUAAAAAUACAAAUGGACAAGAAUCUACAGUAUUAAUUUUUUGCUAGUUUGGUGACCAUACUGCUCUUUUAAUAUUAGACUUUGCUAUUUAAAUUGGAUUUAUUAGUGAUUAAUGCAUUAGAUUUUUAAAAACUUCUUACAUUAUUAACUUUGGAAGAAAUAAUUUGCUGAGAAUUAAUUGUAGUUCAAAAUAUGUAAAUUUAAAUUUCUUAGCAGAGUAUAUUGCAUCCCAUAAAAUAGGUCAGAAAAUUACUACCUGUGUGAAAUGACACAAACAGAGCUUCACUCUUUUCAUUAUCCUGUUUUCAUUCCUUCUUUUUUUAAAGAUUUAUUUAUUUAUUUGAAAGGCAGAGGCAGAGAGAGAGAGGGCUUCCAUCUGCUGCUUCACUCCCCAGUCGGCCGUAAUGGCCAGAGCUCUGCCAAUCCGAAACCAGGAGCCAAGAGCUUCUUCCAGGUCUCCCACGCUGUUGCAGGGGCCCAAAGACUUGGGCCGUCUUCUACUGCUUUCCCAGUCCAUGGCAGAGAGCUGGAUUGGAAGUGGAGCAGCUGGGACUCUAACCAGUGCCCAUAUGGGAUGCUGGCACUUCAGAUGGCAGCUUAAUCUGCUGCACCACAGUGCUGGCCCUGGAUAUAUUUUUCUUAUUUCAGUGACUUAAGUCUAAUAAAAUAAUACUCUUCUAUGAUAUAAUCAGAAAUGCUACCAAAUCUCCAUUUAAAAUAUUUGUCAGAAAAUAUUUAUCAUUAUACACAUGCAUUUUUAUGAUCUAAUUUUCCAAAUAAUGUUUCAGUGACUUCCACAUUUUUAAGCGAUAUAUAAUUCUUGACAUUUUAGGAAUGUCUGUGCUGUUUCUGAGCAUACAAAUUGUAUCGAUUUUAUAUAGAUGAGCUUCAGGGGGCACUGCUGCAGAAUUUCUUCCAACUCUUGGGAUUCAUUUCCCAUGAAAUGUCAACAUUGCUGCUUUUUACAGAGAAAGGAGAACACAUUAGCAUCCAAAGGGUAUUCUUACAGUACCUGAUUUCCAAUGCUGAAUAACAAGGUUAAUUUAGACUCACAAGAUUUUCUGCUCUAAGGAAUAUCAGGUAUCAUUUCAACUCCUUCAUUCUGUGGAUGACUAAAUGGAGAUGAUAGUUUGCCCAAGGUCACCAGCUAGAGGGAAAGCAUCUUGCCUAGGAGCAAGCGAGUCUUCUGCAAUAUCUUAAAAUAGAAGGCAUCUAUUUAUUCCCUUAUUCCUCAGUUUUUUUAAUUUAGAGAGAAUUUCUGGAAGAUUGAGAACUCUAAUCUCCCUGAUCUCUGAAAUGCAAUUUCCCACCCUACCCUACCCUCUACAGCAACU